Molecule: ribosomal RNA, 497 nt
Filed under: uncultured bacterium
Lineage: Bacteria
Description: partial 16S ribosomal RNA
Rfam family: Bacterial small subunit ribosomal RNA
Source: RNAcentral
GAUGAACGCUGGCGGCGUGCCUAAUACAUGCAAGUCGAGCGAAAAGACGAGGAGCUUGUUCCUCUGACGUUAGCGGAGGACGGGUGAGAAACACGUGGAUAACCUCCUUAUCAGUCUGGUAAAAUCUCGGGAAACCGGAUAUAAUACGGUAUAAUCUCCUGAUCCGUAGGGUUGAAUGGAAAAUGACGGCUGUGCUGGAACGUCUCGAUGGAUCUGCGCCGCAUUGGCUAGUUGGGAGGGUAACGGCUUAUCAAGGGAACGAUGCGUAGCCGACCUGAGAGGGUGAUCGGCCACACUGGAACUGAGACACGGUCCAGACUCCUACGGGAGGCAGCAGUAGGGAAUCUUCCGCAAUGGGCGAAAGCCUGACGGAGCAACGCCGCGUGAGUGAUGACGGUCUUCGGAUCGUAAAACUCUGUUAUUAGGGAAGAACAAAUGUGUAAGUAACUAUGCACGUCUUGACGGUACCUAAUCAGAAAGCCACGGCUAACUACGUG